UACGUAGGGGGCAAGCGUUGUCCGGAAUCAUUGGGCGUAAAGCGCGUGUAGGCGGCUCGAUAAGUCUGCUGUGAAAGUUCAGGGCUCAACCCUGAAAUGCCGGUGGAAACUGUCGAGCUAGAGUCCGGAAGAGGCGAGUGGAAUUCCUGGUGUAGCGGUGAAAUGCGUAGAUAUCAGGAGGAACACCUGUGGCGAAAGCGGCUCACUGGACCACAACUGACGCUGAGGCGCGAAAGCUAGGGGAGCAAACAGG
This 253-nucleotide ribosomal RNA is filed under the name uncultured bacterium. RNAcentral's name for it is "partial 16S ribosomal RNA". It matches the Rfam family "Bacterial small subunit ribosomal RNA", at positions 524 to 776 of the family's 1533-position model. The record is from RNAcentral.